CAACAGAGGGAUGCAAAGCCGCGAGGCAGAGCGAACCCCAAAAAGCCGUCCCAGUUCGGAUCGCAGGCUGCAACCCGCCUGCGUGAAGUCGGAAUCGCUAGUAAUCGCGGAUCAGCAUGCCGCGGUGAAUACGUUCCCGGGCCUUGUACACACCGCCCGUCACACCAUGAGAGUCGGGAACACCCGAAGCCCGUAGCCUAACCGCAAGGGGGGCGCGGUCGAAGGUGGGUUCGAUAAUUGGGGUGAAGUCGUAACAAGGUACC
This 263-nucleotide ribosomal RNA is filed under the name uncultured bacterium. RNAcentral's name for it is "partial 16S ribosomal RNA". It matches the Rfam family "Bacterial small subunit ribosomal RNA", at positions 1237 to 1500 of the family's 1533-position model. The record is from RNAcentral.